AAGCUCCAGCCGAACUGUCCCCUCAGGGGGUGCGUUCCCGCAAGGGAUAGGCUGGGGCUCUUUC
RNAcentral lists this non-coding RNA (64 nucleotides) under unclassified sequences. RNAcentral's name for it is "DUF3800-IX RNA". It matches the Rfam family "DUF3800-IX RNA". Rfam says of the family: Actinobacteria, Firmicutes (1 example), Nitrospirae, Proteobacteria, Verrucomicrobia (1 example). Nearby to DUF3800 The record is from Rfam by way of RNAcentral.